GACCGGUCACUCUUCAUGGACACACAGCUGGGUCCAGGUCCAGCAGAGUGGUGUCCACCUUUGAAGACAAUAGGUUUGUCCAUAGACCAGUCACUCUUGAUGGACACACAGCUGGGUCCAGGUCCAGGUCCAGGUCCAGGUCCAGCAGAGUCUGGUCCCUGCUGCUGCUCUGGGCU
This is a long non-coding RNA of Micropterus salmoides (largemouth bass), 176 nucleotides long. RefSeq lists it as uncharacterized. The transcript has 3 exons. NCBI's taxonomy places the organism in Eukaryota, Metazoa, Chordata, Actinopteri, Centrarchiformes, Centrarchidae. The record is from RefSeq and is a predicted model, not a curated record.